Molecule: long non-coding RNA, 1128 nt
Filed under: Triticum aestivum (bread wheat)
Lineage: Eukaryota; Viridiplantae; Streptophyta; Magnoliopsida; Poales; Poaceae
Description: long non-coding RNA (TAES_LNC000893)
Source: RNAcentral
GGUAAUUUAUUAUACAUGGUCACUAUCCCGUCUCUCGUUGUUCUGUAUGGUCCAAGUAAAUGAGGCUUUUCCUGCAUUGGUGAUUUAUUCAUUUUUGAGUUCCAUCAUUCGCAUGUCUAUAAAAAGAUCCAGUGUAGAAAACUAAGCGUGUUGAGGUUUAAUUCAUAUAAGAGUGUGUCGGAAUGGAAAUAUGAAAAUGUGUAUGUAUGAACAAGCUCAGAUCCAUUUCUCAUGUUUAUAAUUUUUUAAUCAUGGGUAAAGAUCAAAUGCUACCAUGCAGCACCACAGUUGGGUAGUUUUUGACAUCUUCAGAUACAAUAUGCAAGCGAAUAUGACAUUUCCCGUGCGAGAUCAAAUGACUUGAGCAUUACUUUGGUUCAACUGUCCCUCUCAUCAAGUAUUAUGUUUGCGAGAUGAACAAGACUUUCAUGACUCCUGGACAGAGGAUGGUAUGGAUCUUAAAAACCCUACUUCUCACAAGUAGAGAAUCGUAGUACCCAAAUAUGACCAAUUAAUGUUUCUUUUCCAGUGCUUCUCCUGUCGCUUCACGAAGCUAUAUCUAAAGGACCAUCUCAAUGAACCGGUCGAGGACAUGAUGGUGAAACUCAACACUUGAGGUGUCACAAGACAGGUCCGUAUAAUAAUGGACACGAACAAGAGGGCCAUGAUAACAAACAAUUUGUAACUUUGUCAAAGCAGCAGGGGUCAUAGAGUUUCAGAGAUGAGUCUUUGCCUUUCAGAUUAAAAGGGGGGAACUAACGCUUACCGUCCAUAAGCUUUAAAAUGCUAAGAUACAAAAUCGCAUGUGCACUGUCUGUACAGAAAUCAUUAUAUACAGUUUAUCUCACAAGUUGUUUGCAUCAGGUUCAUGUGAAGUGCCACCUAUGAGGUUGAUCGAUAAGGCAGUUGAAUGAAGUCACUUAUUAGUAUGCUUAAUAGCUAUGGUUUCGUAGUCGUUUCUCCUUUAUUAUGUUCUCCUUUUAUUAUUUUCCCUCCUAUAUUUACGCUUUUGGUUUCGAACAUAAUGCCGGGUGGUUAUGUUUUGUGGUCUUAUGAGCACUGAACUCGAUGUUGCCUUAUAAUCUUACUCGAUGUUGCCUUAUAAUCUUAAGCUGAUAUCGAACUGCA